RNAcentral lists this ribosomal RNA (492 nucleotides) under uncultured bacterium. Its description in RNAcentral is "partial 16S ribosomal RNA". It matches the Rfam family "Bacterial small subunit ribosomal RNA", at positions 29 to 507 of the family's 1533-position model. The record is from RNAcentral.
AGUGAACGCUGGCGGUAGGCCCAACACAUGCAAGUCGAACGGCAGCACAGUAAGAGCUUGCUCUUACGGGUGGCGAGUGGCGGACGGGUGAGGAAUACAUCGGAAUCUACUUUUUCGUGGGGGAUAACGUAGGGAAACUUACGCUAAUACCGCAUACGACCUACGGGUGAAAGCAGGGGAUCUUCGGACCUUGCGCGAUUGAAUGAGCCGAUGUCGGAUUAGCUAGUUGGCGGGGUAAAGGCCCACCAAGGCGACGAUCCGUAGCUGGUCUGAGAGGAUGAUCAGCCACACUGGAACUGAGACACGGUCCAGACUCCUACGGGAGGCAGCAGUGGGGAAUAUUGGACAAUGGGCGCAAGCCUGAUCCAGCCAUACCGCGUGGGUGAAGAAGGCCUUCGGGUUGUAAAGCCCUUUUGUUGGGAAAGAAAAGCAGCAGGUUAACACCCCGCUGUUCUGACGGUACCCAAAGAAUAAGCACCGGCUAACUUCGUG